GUCAUGAAGAUGGCGCAAUCGACUAGCGCGUUCGGCUGUUAACCUUAAGGUUGGUGGAUCGAGUCCACCCGCGGACG
Molecule: non-coding RNA, 77 nt
Organism: Cordylochernes scorpioides
Lineage: Eukaryota; Metazoa; Arthropoda; Arachnida; Pseudoscorpiones; Chernetidae
Source: the annotation of a GenBank genome assembly